Pipra filicauda (Wire-tailed manakin) is the source of this 988-nucleotide long non-coding RNA. RefSeq lists it as uncharacterized. Lineage: Eukaryota; Metazoa; Chordata; Aves; Passeriformes; Pipridae. The record is from RefSeq and is a predicted model, not a curated record. The transcript is spliced from 4 exons.
UUUGCUUCCCAGUUCAGUAUUCUUUAUUCUAAGAGUGUUUUCUUAUCCUCUGAGGAGAAAGUUACAACUCACAAUGUGCAAAUCUACAUUUUUAGGUGAAAGAACAUCCAGAUAUGUACUAGAUUAAAUGUGUUCCAAUACUCGAAUCACAGGAAAAAGAGUAUGCUGAGAGAAGAAAGAAGUCUGACUUGUAUGUUGGUAUUCACCUUAGUUUAUGUGUUGGGAAGAGCAUACUUGAAAGACAAAGCCUUUCCAGAAGUGUCAGUGACUCAUAGAUUCAAUGUCAGUCCUAAAAGCCUUCCAGCAUGAGGAGAAUAUGAAAUGAUGAAGCAUCCUCUGCGGCACAUCUACUUGAAGUACAGCACAGUGCUCUUUUAGCACCCAUGGCUUCAGGAAUACAGGCACUGAACACCCCUUUUCACAGCAAGACAGGAUUGUCUCUUCUCUGUGGAAUUUUUUGUUUGAUUUUUUUCAUCUUCAAGCGCAGAUAGCCAAGCCAAGGACCAGAAAGAUGAAAAAAUGUGUUCAAACCUUGUUGAGAUGGUCACCACAUAAUUUUUUUCCUGCCCUGCAUGCCUGACCUUGGAUUUCUAUUCUUCUAGAUUUAAAAUCCUUCUUUGAAAAAUCAGACCACAGAGAGAGACAAUGAAGCAGAAUAGAUAGUCAUGCAACUAAGAAGACAACCUGGGUCUGAGACAUGACUGCUCAUUCUGUGGCUUUUGGUUACAGGUGUGUGCCACGGAGUAAGAACGGCAGUCCCUUCUGGAAAUGGCUUGGGAAUACCUCCUUGUAUGGAGGAAGCAGGAGCAUUUGUGAGAUUUUGAAGACAGAAGAGUGAAAGAUGAGGUGCUAAAUCUGAGACUGUGGCUGUUAAAAUGAGCUGCUGAACACCAGAGAGCAAGGAUUACUGCAUUGCCUAACAGACUGCUGCAGAACCUCUGAGAUUUUUAUUUCCAGUAAUAAAAAAAGAAAUCCAUGUGCGUCUCAA